AGAGUUUGAUCCUGGCUCAGAGUGAAUGCUGGCGGCGGGUUUAACACAUGCCAGUCGAGUGGCCGCAGCGAUACGGCUGUCGGCAGACGGGAGAGUGCACAUAUCUACCGCGUUCUUCGCUUCGGGAUAACUUAGGGUAACUUGUGCUAAUAUCGGAUACGCCCUUAUGGGGAAAGAUUUAUUGGCGAAGGAUCGGGCCGCGUCCGAUUAGCUUGUUGGUGAGGUAACGGCUCACCAAGGCGACGAUCUGUAGCUGGUCUGAGAGGAUGACCAGCCUCACUGGGACUGAGACACGGCCCAGACUCCUACUGGAGGCAGCAGUGGGGAAUAUUGGACAAUGGGCGCAAGCCUGAUCCACCCAUGCCGCGUGGGUGAUGAAGGCCCUAGGGUUGUAAAGCCCUGUCGGCGGGGAAGAUAAUGACGGUACCCGCAGAAGAAGACCCGGCUAACUUCGUUCCCGCAGCCGCGGUAAUACGAAGGGGUCUAGCGUUGCUCGGAAUUACUGGGCGUAAAGCGCACGUAGGCCGCUUCUUAAGUCGGCGGUGAAAUCCUGGAGCUCUAACUCCAGAACCGCCCUCGAUACUGGGGAGCUCGAGUCCGGCAGAGGUGAGCGGAACUGCGAGUGUAGAGGUGAAAUUGGUAGAUAUUCGCAAGCACCCCAGUGGCGACAGGCGGCUCACUGGCCCGGCACUGACGCUGAGGGGCGAACGCGUGGGGAGCAAACACUAUUAGAUACCCCCGUAGUCC
RNAcentral lists this ribosomal RNA (747 nucleotides) under uncultured bacterium. RNAcentral's name for it is "bacterial SSU rRNA". It matches the Rfam family "Bacterial small subunit ribosomal RNA", at positions 8 to 796 of the family's 1533-position model. The record is from RNAcentral.